This 481-nucleotide ribosomal RNA is filed under the name uncultured bacterium. RNAcentral's name for it is "partial 16S ribosomal RNA". It matches the Rfam family "Bacterial small subunit ribosomal RNA", at positions 28 to 506 of the family's 1533-position model. The record is from RNAcentral.
GACGAACGCUGGCGGCGUGCUUAACACAUGCAAGUCGAACGAUGAAGAAGAGAAACGCGAACUUCGGUUCAAAUUUCACUUCGGAUUAGUGGCAGACGGGUGAGUAACGCGUGAGCAACCUACCUCUUACAAAGGGAUAGCCUCGGGAAACCGUGAUUAAUACCAUAUGACACAUUCAUAAGGCAUCUUAAGAAUGUUAAAGCUACGGCGGUAAGAGAUGGGCUCGCGUCCCAUUAGCUAGUUGGUGAGGUAACGGCCCACCAAGGCGACGAUGGGUAACCGGCCUGAGAGGGUGAACGGUCCCAUUGGAACUGCGACACGGUCCAAACUCCUACGGGAGGCAGCAGUGGGGAAUAUUGCACAAUGGAGGGAACUCUGAUGCCGCGACGCCGCGUGAGCGAUGAAGGAAUUCGUUUCGUAAAGCUCUGUUCGAGGGGAAGAAAAGGACUGUACCAUAGGAGAAAGCCCCGGCUAAAUACGU